This 426-nucleotide long non-coding RNA is filed under the name Elaeis guineensis (African oil palm). Its description in RNAcentral is "long non-coding RNA (EGUI_LNC066958)". The record is from RNAcentral. Lineage: Eukaryota; Viridiplantae; Streptophyta; Magnoliopsida; Arecales; Arecaceae.
UGAUUAAAGAUAGAUCUACACAAACUACGACAACCUUUGCACUGUAAGGGGUAAACCUUACAGCAGGACAACCUUGCAGUUCGUGAUUGAUCUAAAAUUUUAAUUUCAAAUUUAAUAAUUAGAUUAUAAAUUAGAUCUAAUCUAAGAAAUAAUCUAAGCAUGUAUAAAUAAUCAUGUAAUAAAGAACCUAGGCUCUGAUACCAAUUGUAGGAACCAGAUCUAGGGUUUCAGCGUUAGAUCUUGAAACUUUUUCAAGAUCAUACAGUGGAAGACUAAAAUAAAUUUAUAUUAUUUUUUAAAAUUAGAGAAUUCCUAGAUCUAAGAUCCUAUUACAUGAUUAUUACAUAGCAUUAAAUCAAAAAUUAAAAUAUAUAAAUAUAGCAUGAACUACAUGUUGAUCAUAUCAACAUGUUUCUAUACUACAUC